AGGCCCGUAGCCAAGCGGUAAGGCAUCAGACUUUGACUCUGACACUCGUUGGUUCGAAUCCAGCCGGGCCUGCCA
Molecule: transfer RNA, 75 nt
Filed under: Acholeplasmataceae bacterium
Lineage: Bacteria; Bacillati; Mycoplasmatota; Mollicutes; Acholeplasmatales; Acholeplasmataceae
Description: tRNA-Gln
Rfam family: tRNA
About the family: Transfer RNA (tRNA) molecules are approximately 80 nucleotides in length.
Source: RNAcentral